RNAcentral lists this ribosomal RNA (253 nucleotides) under uncultured bacterium. Its description in RNAcentral is "partial 16S ribosomal RNA". It matches the Rfam family "Bacterial small subunit ribosomal RNA", at positions 524 to 776 of the family's 1533-position model. The record is from RNAcentral.
UACGUAGGGGGCAAGCGUUGUCCGGAUUUAUUGGGCGUAAAGAGCGUGUAGGCGGCCAUACAGGUCCGUUGUGAAAACUGGAGGCUUAACCUCCAGACGUCGAUGGAAACCGUAUGGCUAGAGUCCGGAAGAGGAGAGUGGAAUCCCUGGUGUAGCGGUGAAAUGCGCAGAUAUCAGGAAGAACACCAAUGGCGAAAGCAGCUCUCUGGGACGGUACUGACGCUGAGACGCGAAAGCGUGGGGAGCAAACAGG